Molecule: non-coding RNA, 85 nt
Organism: Klebsiella pneumoniae subsp. pneumoniae
Lineage: Bacteria; Pseudomonadati; Pseudomonadota; Gammaproteobacteria; Enterobacterales; Enterobacteriaceae
Source: Rfam
UCCAAUGGUGGGCUGGGCGGGGGUCCGAAAGGACGCCGGUAUCCGUUUAGGCCGGUACGCCAACUCCGUUCAGUUCACCACCAGU